Molecule: long non-coding RNA, 3948 nt
Filed under: Homo sapiens (human)
Lineage: Eukaryota; Metazoa; Chordata; Mammalia; Primates; Hominidae
Description: non-protein coding lnc-CHL1-6:1
Source: RNAcentral
UCACAUCAAGGGACAUUUUUUUCUUGUGUGUUAAUAUCAAUCCUGUAUUUAUAUUUAUAGAACAUAAAAUUGCAGCAUUUUAAACUUAUAAUUGUUUUGGUGAAUAAAAAAAGCUUUUGAGUUUGAAUUUACUCAUAUGAGAGCUAAAAACUUUUACAAUACAUCCCCCCAAGAAAGUAACACCUUAUAUGUGUGUAUAUCUCUGUAAUAUUGCCUGUCUUCCAAACUCCUCAACAAUUCAACUCUCAGCCAUCUUUCAUUUUGAAACACAGGUUGUUUUGGUAGAAUUUACAUAAAAUAAAAUUUACGCAAACUCCAGCAGAUCUGUAGCAGAGGGGCCUGUUAGAAGGAAAACUGACAAACAGGGAUAGCAUCAAUAUCAACAAAAAGGACGUCCACUCAGAGACCCCAUCUGAAAGUCACCAACAUCAAAGACCAAAGGUAGAUAAAUCCACUAAGAUAGUGAGAAACCAGUGCAAAAAGGCUGAAAAUUCCAAAAGCCAGAACACCUCAUCUCCUCCAAAGGAUCACAACUUCUGGCCAGCAAGGGAACAAAACUGGAUGGAGAAUGAGUUUGACAAAUUGACAGAAGUAGGUUUCAGAAGGUGGGUGAUAACAAACUCCUCCGAGCUAAAGGAGCAUGUUUAACCCAAUGCAAGGAAGCUAAGAACCUGGAAAAAAGGUUAGACAAAUUGCUAACUAGAAUAACCAGUUUAGAGAAGAACAUAAAUGACCUGAUCGAGCUGAAACACAGCAUUAAAACAUCCUGAUGCAUAAACAAGUAUCAAUAGCUGAAUCAAUCAAGCAGAAGAAAGCAUCUCAGACAUUGAAGAUCAACUUAAUGAAAUAAAGUGAGAAGACAAUAUUAAAGAAAAAAGAAUAAAAAGGAAUGAACAAAGCCUCCAAGAAAUAUGGGACUAUGUGGAAAAAAACUAAAUCCACAUUUAAUUGUUGUACCUGAAAGUGACGGGGAGAAUGGAAUCAAAUUGGAAAACACUCUUAAGGAUAUUAUCCAGGAGAACUUCACCAACCUAGCAAGGCAGGCCAACAUUCAAAUUCAGAAAAUACAGAGAACACCACAAAGAUACUCCUCAAGAAGAGCAACCCCAAGACACAUAAUUGUCAGAUUCACCAAGAUUGAAAUGAAGGAAAAAUUAUUAAGGGCAGCCAGAGAGAAAGGUCGGGUUACCCACAAAGGAAAGCCCCUCAGACUAACAGGAGAUCUCUCAGCAGAAAACUUACAAGCCAGAAGAGAGUGGGUGCCAAUAUUCAACAUUGUUAAAGAAAAGAUUUUCAACCCAGAAUUUCAUAUCCAGCCAAACUAAGCUUCAUAAGUGAGGGAGAAAUAAAAUCCUUUACAAACAAGCAAAUGCUGAAAGAUUUUGUCACCACCAGGCCUGCCUUACCAGAGCUCCUGGAGGAAGCACUAAACAUGCAAAGGAACAACUGGUACCAGUCACUGCGAAAACAUACCAAAUUAUAAAGACCGUCGACAUUAUGAAAAAACUGCAUCAAUUAACAUGUAAAAUAACCAGCUAGUGUCAUAAUGACAGGUUCAAAUUCCCAAAUAACAAUAUUAACCUUAAAUGUAAAUGGCUUAAAUGUCCCAAUUAAAAGACAUAGACCGGCAAACUGGAUAAAGAGUCAAGACCCAUCAGUGUGCUGUAUUAAGGAGAUCCAGCUCAUAUGCAAAGACACACAUAGGCUCAAAAUACAGGGAUAGAAAAAGAUUUACCAAACGAAUGGAAAGCAAAAAAAAAGCUACGGUUGUAUUCUUAGUCUCUGGUAAAACAGACUUUAAACCAACAAAGAUCAAAAGAGAAAAAGAAGGGCAUUACAUAUUGGUAAAGGGACCAAUGCAGCAAGAAGAGCUAACCAUACUAAAUAUGUAUGCACCAAAUACUGGAGCACACAGAUUCAUAAAGCAACUUCUUAGAGACCUACAAAGAGGCUUAGAAUCCCACACAAUAAUAAUGGGAGACUUUAACACCCCAUUGGCAAUAUUAGACAGAUCAAUGAGACAGAAAAUUAACAAGGAUAUCCAGGACUUGAACUCAGCUCUGGACCAAGCAGAACUAAUAGACAUCUACAGAACUCUCCACCCCAAAUCAACAGAAUAUACAUUCUUCUCAGCACCUCAUCACACUUAUUCUAAAAUUGAGCACAUAAUUGGAAGUAAAACAUGCCUCAGCAAAUGCAAAAGAAUGGAAAUCACAACAGUCUCUCAGACCACAGUACAAUCAAAGUAGAACUCAGGAUUAAGAAACUCACUCAGAACAGCAAACAACAUGGAAACUGAACAAUGUGCUCCUGAAUGACUACUGGGUAAAUAACAAAAUAAAGACAGAAAUAAAGAUGUUCCUUGAAACCAAUAAGAACAAAGACACAAUGUACAAGAAUCUCUAGGACACAUUUAAAAGAGUGUUUAGAGGGAAAUUUAUAGCACUACAUGCCCACAAGAGAAAGCAGAAAAUAUCUAAAAUUGACACACUAACAUCACAAUUAAAAGAACUAGAGAAGGAAGAACAAACAAAUUCAAAAGCAGCAGAUGACAAGAAAUAACUAAGAUCAGAGCAGAACUGAAGAAGAUAGAGCCAUGAAAAAUACUUCAAAAAAUCAAUGAAUCCAAGAGUUGGUUUUUUGAAAAGAUCAACAAAAUAGACUGCUAGCCAGACUAAUAGAGAAGAAAAGAGAGAAGAAUCAAAUAGGCACAAUAAAAAAUGAUAAAGGGGAUAUAACCACUGAUCCCACAGAAAUACAAACUACCACCAGAGGAUACUAUAAACACGUCUAUGCAAAUAAACUAGAAAAUCUAGAAGAAAUGGAUAAAUUCCUGGACACCUACACCCUCCCAAGUCUAAACCAGGAAGAAGUCGAAUCCCUGAAUAGACCAAUAAAAAGUUCUGAGAUGGAGGCAGUAAUUAACAGCCUACCACCAAAAAAAAAUCCUGGACCAGACAGAUUCACAGCUGAUUUUUAUGAGGGAUACAAAGAGGAGCUGGUACCAUUCCUUCUGAAACUAUUCCAAACAAUAGAGAAAGAGAGAAUCCUUUCUAACUCAUUUUAUGAGGCCAGCAUCAUCCUGAUACCAAAAGCUGGCAGAGACACACACAAAAAAGAAAAUUUCAGGUCAAUAUCCCUGAUGAACAUCGAUGCAAAAAUCCUCAAUAAAAUACUGGCAAACCAAAUCCAGCAGCACAUCAAAAAGCUUACGCACCAUGAUCAAGUUGGCUUCAUCCCUGGGAUGCAAGGCUGGUUCAGCAUACUCAAAUCAAUAAACGUAAUUGAUCACAGAAACAGAACCAAUGACAAAAACCACAUGAUUAUCUAAAUAGAUGCAGAAAAGGCCUUCGACAAAAUUCAACAACGCUUCAUGGUGAAAGCUCUCAAUAAACUAGGUAUUGAUGGAACAGAUCUCAAAAUAAUAAGACCUAUUUAUGACAAACCCACAGCCAAUAUCAUACUGAAUGUGCAAAAACUGGAAGCAUUCCUUUUGAAAACUGGCACAAGACAAGGAUGUCCUCUCUCACCACUCCUAUUCAACACAGUAUUGGAAGUUUUGGCUAGGGCAAUCAGGCAAGAGAAAGAAAUAAAAUGUAUUCAAAUAGGAAGAGAGGAAGUCAAAUUGUCUCUGUUUGCAGAUGACAUGAUUGUAUAUUUAGAAAACCCCAACAUCUCAGCCCAAAAUCUCCUUAAUCUGAUAAGCAACUUCAGCAAAGUCUCAGGAUACAAAAUCAAUGUACCAAAAUUACAAGCAUUCCUAUACACCAAUAACAGACAAAUAGCCAAAUCAUGAGUGUACUCCCAUUCAGAAUUGCUACAAAGGCAAUAAAAUACCUAGGAAUGCAACUCACAAGGGAUGUGAAGGACCUCUUCAAGGAGAACUACAAACCACUGCUCAAGGAAAUAAAAGAGGACGCAAAUAAAUGGAAAAACGUUCUAUGCUUA